Xiphophorus couchianus (Monterrey platyfish) is the source of this 1740-nucleotide long non-coding RNA. RefSeq lists it as uncharacterized. The transcript has 2 exons. Lineage: Eukaryota; Metazoa; Chordata; Actinopteri; Cyprinodontiformes; Poeciliidae. The record is from RefSeq and is a predicted model, not a curated record.
CUUAAAAAAAAAAAAAAAAAAGAAGUCUCUGCAGCUUUCAUCCUUUCUUCUGCCACCUCGUGAGCCCACUUUUAUCAAAUAACUAACAGCGCUGUGUGUCUGAGCACAACAAAGCAUCGCUCCUGCUAAAAGGCGCCUUUGAGAUGGAGACUGGGUGUCUGAAAGCACAUUUUCACCAACUGCAAAAGAUCCAUGUAAUAGAGAGCAACAUCAUCUGUGGGAGCGUUGAAUGUCAGCAGGGGCUUGGAGUGCACUGCCUCCAUGCGUCGAGAAUGUAAAUUACAUCAGAGCGGCCUGGUACAGGUACUAAAUCUGGGUUUGAAACGAAAAAAAAAACUGUUUAUCCAUGAGUAAAGCAUGCUAGAAUAAAAUAUGUUUACUAUUUGCGAACUAGGAAGUUGUGAGAUAAAAGAUCAAAUCUAAUAUCGCUGCGGUGCAUAUAAAACUUACUGAUAGGUGCACCAAAAUAGGAUUUGCAUCUAAUUAAAUGUUUCACAUGACCAAUUUAGCAAAUAUAAAGUGCGAAAUAAAGGGAGAGAUCCAUUGUUUUAAAAUUAUAGUGCUAAAUAUUUUUAUUUUAGCCUGACUAUUGAGCACAUCAAUUGGACAUCCUGGUUGGUCGGGCAGCUCUUUGGCGAGUGGCUGCUGGACAACUGUCAGAUGCUGAAAACUGUAGGCAGGAACUAUCUCCCCUGUAGCAGUCCGCCUUACGGCGACUCUGAAGAAGCCUCUGACUGAAGACUGGUCUUAUGAAGAGGAUUCUCAGGGUUGUUCUUCAUUGGAGCUGGAGAGCGUGUGAAUGGUACUUUUUUCUUUUUUUUUAAACCGCACCAUGGAUUCUCAAUUUGGUUGCAGCCUGAAUUUUAACUAGGCCAUUUUAACAGACUUUUUAAAAAAAAGUUAAAAAAAAACAAAAAAAGGUAGGAUACAAACAGUCGGAGGUUUUUUUAAGAUGCACAAAAUCUGACAUAAAUUUAAUGAGAGAUAUGACGAAAACUAUAACAUGAGUAAGAGAGAAAUAAAAACUAUUUAAAAAUUAGACUGUGCAAUAAUGUGAACAGGAGCAACUUCUGCCUCUAUCCAGGAACCUGGAUUUAUCUUCUUCCCAUCAAUUCUAAAGAGCCUCUCUGUCACAAAAGUCUCUAGUUUGGUUGCUUCCGAAACUCCACUUCUUGGAGUUUUAUUUUGAGCCACCAGAGUAAAAUAGGGCCUAAAUAUCAAAGCAUGUUAGCAUCAUCAAAUGUUGGUAAAUACAUUUUGAAAACCAGGCAUCCUUGUGAUGCUCUACUUUAUGUUUGUAAGUCACAUAAAACCCUGAUAAAACACAAUGAAGUUUGUAGCAUGAAACAAACUUUUGCUAGGCACUACAUAUUCAACAGCUCUGCCACAAAAUAAGAAAAAAAAAAAAAAACACGGUUAGAUGCGACUUUCUGACUGAACAGACUAGUAGAGUUGUCAGAGUUCUUCUAGGGUUAAAUCUGGCUCCCGCUGUUUGUUUUUGAAAACCCAAAACUACACAAAAAAAGAAGUAAUGACUUUAGAGGAACGAUACCGUUAACGUUUUCAUGACUGCAACUGGCAAACGUUUGUCAUAGUUACAGUUUGUUUCUUUCUCUUUUGUGUCCCUCUAAACUGAUUACGUUCAAUUUGUGCUUAAAAAAAAUAAAAUAUAACCUCCCCCACACCCCUGCCUUUUUUUUUUUUUUUUUUUUGCAGCCACAACAGAAAGAAAAACUGAAG